RNAcentral lists this ribosomal RNA (627 nucleotides) under Pseudomonas sp. RNAcentral's name for it is "bacterial SSU rRNA". It matches the Rfam family "Bacterial small subunit ribosomal RNA", at positions 153 to 769 of the family's 1533-position model. Lineage: Bacteria; Pseudomonadati; Pseudomonadota; Gammaproteobacteria; Pseudomonadales; Pseudomonadaceae. The record is from RNAcentral.
GAAAGGAACUGCUAAUACCGCAUACGUCCUACGGGAGAAAGCAGGGGACCUUCGGGCCUUGCUUCUAUCAGAUGAGCCUAGGUCGGAUUAGCUAGUUGGUGAGGUAAUGGCUCACCAAGGCUACGAUCCGUAACUGGUCUGAGAGGAUGAUCAGUCACACUGGAACUGAGACACGGUCCAGACUCCUACGGGAGGCAGCAGUGGGGAAUAUUGGACAAUGGGCGAAAGCCUGAUCCAGCCAUGCCGCGUGUGUGAAGAAGGUCUUCGGAUUGUAAAGCACUUUAAGUUGGGAGGAAGGGCAGUAAGCUAAUACCUUGCUGUUUUGACGUUACCGACAGAAUAAGCACCGGCUAACUUCGUGCCAGCAGCCGCGGUAAUACGAAGGGUGCAAGCGUUAAUCGGAAUUACUGGGCGUAAAGCGCGCGUAGGUGGUUCGUUAAGUUGGAUGUGAAAGCCCCGGGCUCAACCUGGGAACUGCAUCCAAAACUGGCGAGCUAGAGUAUGGCAGAGGGUGGUGGAAUUCCUGUGUAGCCGGUGAAAUGCGUAGAUAUAGGAAAGGAACACCAGUGGGGGAGGCGACCACCCUGGGGCUAAUACUGACACUGAGGUGCGAAAGCUUGGGGGAGC